AUGAACGCUGGCGGCGUGCCUAAUACAUGCAAGUCGAGCGAACAGACGAGGAGCUUGCUCCUCUGACGUUAGCGGCGGACGGGUGAGUAACACGUGGAUAACCUACCUAUAAGACUGGGAUAACUUCGGGAAACCGGAGCUAAUACCGGAUAAUAUAUUGAACCGCAUGGUUCAAUAGUGAAAGACGGUUUUGCUAUCACUUAUAGAUGGAUCCGCGCCGCAUUAGCUAGUUGGUAAGGUAACGGCUUACCAAGGCAACGAUGCGUAGCCGACCUGAGAGGGUGAUCGGCCACACUGGAACUGAGACACGGUCCAGACUCCUACGGGAGGCAGCAGUAGGGAAUCUUCCGCAAUGGGCGAAAGCCUGACGGAGCAACGCCGCGUGAGUGAUGAAGGUCUUCGGAUCGUAAAACUCUGUUAUUAGGGAAGAACAAAUGUGUAAGUAACUAUGCACGUCUUGACGGUACCUAAUCAGAAAGCCACGGCUAACUACGUG
This 496-nucleotide ribosomal RNA is filed under the name uncultured bacterium. RNAcentral describes it as "partial 16S ribosomal RNA". It matches the Rfam family "Bacterial small subunit ribosomal RNA", at positions 29 to 507 of the family's 1533-position model. The record is from RNAcentral.